This 219-nucleotide long non-coding RNA is filed under the name Capsicum annuum. RNAcentral's name for it is "long non-coding RNA (CANN_LNC021992)". Lineage: Eukaryota; Viridiplantae; Streptophyta; Magnoliopsida; Solanales; Solanaceae. The record is from RNAcentral.
AACCUCUUGUAGUUUUGCAAGGCCGCAUCUUCACUAUGUUACUUUCUUUCCUAUAAACAGUGAUAGAUAAAGGAAUGAGGUUUUGUUUAUUAUGUUGUUCGUUUAUUAGUGUCGAGCCCGUUGUUGUGCAUCAUCUUGUCUAUCUAGUUCUAUCUUCAUCUAUCGGAUUAGUAUUUCAUUGGGUUGAAAUGGGAGCAUUAAGAGAGUUUUUUUUCUAAA